CCAAGUAUGGACAAACAGCACUGAAAUAUUAUUUUAGCAAUCAGAUUUCAGUUCAUUGUUGAUGACAAGCACAAGCAAGAUACUUACUAUAACCAUCCAUUAAUGCCACAGCAAAAUGCAAUGGCAAGUGCAGCAAUACUUGUAAAAUCAAAGUUUAUGAAGAUGAACUUAGAGCCCUUAGACCAGGCAAAGUUUUAUUAAAUAACAAAAUGAAACCAAGAAAGAACAAAACACCAAAGUUUUUUUUAACCCUAAGAUAAAACAUU
RNAcentral lists this unclassified non-coding RNA (266 nucleotides) under Hevea brasiliensis (rubber tree). Lineage: Eukaryota; Viridiplantae; Streptophyta; Magnoliopsida; Malpighiales; Euphorbiaceae. The record is from RNAcentral.